GAUCAAGGUAUCCCGGCUGUCUAGGAGAAUAGUAUGCUGGACUCCACGGGGCCUCCAUUUCAUUAUACCUCUGAUUAACUGAUUGUUGGGGCUGAGCUAUACCCAAAUGUGGUAUGUUAAGGUGACGCAAAUUGACCUGAGGUAUAGGCACCUCGUUACUCCUCAAAUUGUGGAGACAACCAUCAAGAGUCAUCUGACUAAAGCACUGCUCAGCACCAUGGAGAUCAUCCAAUGGACCUGUAACCUGAAAUUCAUUAUGUUGUCCCAUUCUGUAAUCUGGGGAUUCAUUAAGGCUAUUCAAAGCAUCCACAUACCUUCUCUCAUUUUCCCUCUCAUCCCCAUCACAGAAAUGCAAGGAUCCAUCUUGAUCAGGGUGCAAAAACAG
RNAcentral lists this unclassified non-coding RNA (385 nucleotides) under Hevea brasiliensis (rubber tree). Lineage: Eukaryota; Viridiplantae; Streptophyta; Magnoliopsida; Malpighiales; Euphorbiaceae. The record is from RNAcentral.